Molecule: ribosomal RNA, 638 nt
Filed under: uncultured bacterium
Lineage: Bacteria
Description: bacterial SSU rRNA
Rfam family: Bacterial small subunit ribosomal RNA
Source: RNAcentral
UGCAAGUCGAGCGGAUGAGGGUAGCUUGCUACCUGAUUCAGCGGCGGACGGGUGAGUAAUGCCUAGGAAUCUGCCCGAUAGUGGGGGACAACGUUUCGAAAGGAACGCUAAUACCGCAUACGUCCUACGGGAGAAAGCAGGGGACCUUCGGGCCUUGCGCUAUCGGAUGAGCCUAGGUCGGAUUAGCUAGUUGGUGGGGUAAAGGCUCACCAAGGCGACGAUCCGUAACUGGUCUGAGAGGAUGAUCAGUCACACUGGAACUGAGACACGGUCCAGACUCCUACGGGAGGCAGCAGUGGGGAAUAUUGGACAAUGGGCGAAAGCCUGAUCCAGCCAUGCCGCGUGUGUGAAGAAGGUCUUCGGAUUGUAAAGCACUUUAAGCUGGGAGGAAGGGCAGUAAGUUAAUACCUUGCUGUUUUGACGUUACCAGCAGAAUAAGCACCGGCUAACUUCGUGCCAGCAGCCGCGGUAAUACGAAGGGUGCAAGCGUUAAUCGGAAUUACUGGGCGUAAAGCGCGCGUAGGUGGUUCAGCAAGUUGGAUGUGAAAGCCCCGGGCUCAACCUGGGAACUGCAUCCAAAACUACUGGGCUAGAGUAUGGUAGAGGGUGGUGGAAUUUCCUGUGUAGCGGUGAAAUGC